This 675-nucleotide long non-coding RNA is filed under the name Gallus gallus (chicken). RNAcentral's name for it is "long non-coding RNA NONGGAT003240". The record is from RNAcentral. Lineage: Eukaryota; Metazoa; Chordata; Aves; Galliformes; Phasianidae.
AUUUUUGUCUUCUCCCCCGCUCCCUAAUUCUGUUGAAGUGGCAAUAACAUCAGGCUUUCACAAGUUCCUGAUGAAAGUAGGGACUGAAUGCCCCAGGACUGUGUGUGCAUGAUGGAGAACAAGAUGGAGACAGAAGGUUUGCUUGGGGCUGGAAGAACAUGUUUUGCCUCUGCAGCCUUAUGAAAACAGCUGAAGUAAAUUACUUUCAGACCACCUGAAGGGAGCAGCUCUAAAUGCUUCAGGGCGUGUGGUUGAACAGACUCCAACUACCAAGAUGGAGAAGCUGAAGUGGAUCACACUGGUCAGCACUGACCAGAACCACCUCAAGCACCAGGGCAGCAGACACAAGCAGGAAAAUUGACUCUGAUCAUCCCUGGGGUCGUUUAACUAAAACACACAUUUCGGUCGAGCCAAGUGUUCACCAGCGCUUUUCAACUCCCCUGGUGUCAAAACAAUUAGCAGAUCACAGCAGCACCGACUCGCUGGUGCUGCAAUGGAAGCAUCUGGCCAGCACAUGGAGACGCAAUGCCAGCACAGACAAAUGUGACCAGAAGGAAUCUGACACAACCAACCCUUCCUUUGCAAUCAACGUGGGAUCCAAAACAAACCUUCGGCGCUCUCGGCAUCGCUGCCCAGGGAACCAGGCAUCCUGCAAAUAAACACUGAAUUGCAAAU